This 459-nucleotide ribosomal RNA is filed under the name Triticum aestivum (bread wheat). Its description in RNAcentral is "partial small subunit ribosomal RNA". Lineage: Eukaryota; Viridiplantae; Streptophyta; Magnoliopsida; Poales; Poaceae. The record is from RNAcentral.
AUGGUGUCCGCCAAGGCCAACGCUAGUGAGGACGUCGUCCCGGAGUUUGUUGGGGACCUCAUCCCAUUUGACAAGGCGCGUGUCACUACGAGUGUGUCCCCGUGGACGGCACGAGGUGGAGGGUGGCUUUGUGUAGAAUGGGGAGGUGGGAGAAGAAGAACUCUGAAGGGGCAUAAUGCUGGAGCUAGUAGGCAAGCUAGCACCCAUGGAUUCGUGAACUGGCUUGGAUGUGUACUUGGUUGCCAGCGUUGGAUGAGGACGACGGCAACAAGGGUGACUAGUGAUAUUCAGUUUUUGGUAAUCCUUUUCGCUGCCACGUUCAGGUGCAUCACUCUGAUGCCCAUGAAGGGUGAGAUCUUGGUCGACACUAUGGAGAAGACCCUGAAGCCUGGUGGGUUCCUCAAAUCGGGACUGAUAGAAACCGAAGGGCCACUCGAAGCUGUCAAAGGGCACUUGUAG